GGGGCUGCCUAUUUUCUCGGGAGAACCGUCAGUGUUGUGCCUUGGGGCAUGUUUGCCGACAUAUAUGGGAGGAAGCCCUGCAUUCUGAUCAGCAUCAUCUCUGUGAUUGUACUUAACACACUCUUUGGACUCAGCGCGAGCUAUUCGAUGGCCAUUAUAACUAGAGGGCUACUUGGAUUACUCUGUGGAAUAUUAGGACCGAUAAAGACCUAUGCUUCAGAAGUGUGCAGGAAAGAGCACCAAACUCUGGGAAUUUCCCUUGUUACAACAUCGCGAGCAAUAGCUUUUGUUGUUGGACCAACAAUUGGAGGAUUUCUUUCACAGGUAAGGACCGGUUCACUUUGA
Molecule: ribosomal RNA, 345 nt
Filed under: Triticum aestivum (bread wheat)
Lineage: Eukaryota; Viridiplantae; Streptophyta; Magnoliopsida; Poales; Poaceae
Description: partial small subunit ribosomal RNA
Source: RNAcentral